RNAcentral lists this long non-coding RNA (911 nucleotides) under Betta splendens (Siamese fighting fish). RNAcentral describes it as "lncRNA (ENSBSLG00000021538.1)". Lineage: Eukaryota; Metazoa; Chordata; Actinopteri; Anabantiformes; Osphronemidae. The record is from RNAcentral.
GCCUUUUUUGGUCCACUUAUCAUGAAGCCUAUUGUGGCGUGGAAAGGCCACAGUGACUGAAGACAUGGGGAGAGCUUCACACAGAGUAGAGUGGCAUCGAAAGCCAUUGAACACAGACAGCAGCAAAUGGAACCACAAGUCAAUCCCCUCCUUUACAACCCACAACGCAGGAAGUGGUACCGAAGGAGCCCUGACAAUGCACAUCGCUGGCCUCUGGAGGCUAAACGGCCCUGCAGGCCCCCCACUGAGGUCCACGAUACGUUUGUUCCCCUAUCUGUCAGAUAGGUAAGUGUGAAAAUUACAUAUGUGUUUAUUUAUUUUACAAUAUUACCAUUUGUACUCAAAGAAAUUCCUAUGACUAUUACAUCACAAUUAGAGAAUGCUCUGAGUCAAUGUGACACAACAUCACAGUUGCCUGAAUGGAUUUUCCAUCCAUUCAGUGUUCCAUCCAUUCAAAGUGUUAAAUAGUGGAGGUUUGGACCUGGUGACCACUUAUACAGUACUUACACGUAUACUGUAACCUCAGAAAUUAUUAGUGGCGAUGUUUAAUGCUUAAGCUGAACAUUCCCAGCAGAGUUUGUUGGAAGAUCUUUACAGCACAUGCUCAUUGUGGUGCAGCAGUAUCACUGUAUUGAACUUAACCAUUUAGAUGUCACACAGUUAUUAUCUGUUUUUGAUAUUUUAUUAUCUUAAGUCAUCAUACAAAAUACUUGUUUUCAUAUCUGUUUUUAGUUCAGUGUCCUGCAAUAUUGUAACUGUGAUGUAAGCAGUCAAGUGCAGCCUCGGUCGUAGUUUAUUCUCUGGUUUUCUCAUCCAUCGGCAUGUUCACUUAAUUGCCCUACAACCGGGAACCUGACAAGGAUCCCACUGUCUGACGUUACUGGAAAUGCAGAUAAAUAAACCUGAUCGAG